UCAGUCGACUCCUACGGGGAGGCAGCAGUGGGGGAAUAUUGCACAAUGGGCGCAAGCCUGAUGCAGCCAUGCCGCGUGUGUGAAGAAGGCCUUCGGGUUGUAAAGCACUUUCAGUCGUGAGGAAGGUGGUAGUGUUAAUAGCACUAUCAUUUGACGUUAGCGACAGAAGAAGCACCGGCUAACUCCGUGCCAGCAGCCGCGGUAAUACGGAGGGUGCGAGCGUUAAUCGGAAUUACUGGGCGUAAAGCGCAUGCAGGUGGUUUGUUAAGUCAGAUGUGAAAGCCCGGGGCUCAACCUCGGAAUUGCAUUUGAAACUGGCAGACUAGAGUACUGUAGAGGGGGGUAGGAAUUUCAGGUGUAGCGGUGAAAUGCGUAGAGAUCUGAAGGAAUACCGGUGGCGAAGGCGGCCCCCUGGACAGAUACUGACACUCAGAUGCGAAAGCGUGGGGAGCAAACAGGAUUAGAUACCCUGGUAG
This 476-nucleotide ribosomal RNA is filed under the name uncultured bacterium. RNAcentral's name for it is "bacterial SSU rRNA". It matches the Rfam family "Bacterial small subunit ribosomal RNA", at positions 328 to 793 of the family's 1533-position model. The record is from RNAcentral.